GCGGCUUGUUGCGUCAGCUGUGAAAACCCGCAGCUCAGCUGUGGGCUUGCAGCUGAUACGGGCAGGCUUGAGUCCGGUAGGGGAGACUGGAAUUCCUGGUGUAGCGGUGAAAUGCGCAGAUAUCAGGAGGAACACCGGUGGCGAAGGCGGGUCUCUGGGCCGAUACUGACGCUGAGGAGCGAAAGCGUGGGGAGCGAACAGGAUUAGAUACCCUGGUAGUCCACGCUGUAAACGUUGGGCGCUAGGUGUGGGGGGCCUCUCCGGCUCUCUGUGCCGCAGCUAACGCAUUAAGCGCCCCGCCUGGGGAGUACGGCCGCAAGGCUGAAACUCAAAGGAAUUGACGGGGGCCCGCACAAGCGGCGGAGCAUGCGGAUUAAUUCGAUGCAACGCGAAGAACCUUACCUGGGUUUGACAUGGGCGCUAAAACCGCAGAGAUGUGGUGUCCUUCGGGGGCGUUCACAGGUGGUGCAUGGCUGUCGUCAGCUCGUGUCGUGAGAUGUUGGGUUAAGUCCCGCAACGAGCGCAACCCUUGUUCGAUGUUGCCAGCGG
This 549-nucleotide ribosomal RNA is filed under the name uncultured Dactylosporangium sp. Its description in RNAcentral is "bacterial SSU rRNA". It matches the Rfam family "Bacterial small subunit ribosomal RNA", at positions 575 to 1124 of the family's 1533-position model. The record is from RNAcentral. Lineage: Bacteria; Bacillati; Actinomycetota; Actinomycetes; Micromonosporales; Micromonosporaceae.